GAUCCUGGCUCAGGAUGAACGCUGGCGGCGUGCCUAACACAUGCAAGUCGAACGGAGAUAUCAGAGAAGCUUGCUUCACUGAUAUCUUAGUGGCGGACGGGUGAGUAACGCGUGGGUAACCUACCCUGUACAGGGGGAUAGCAGCUGGAAACGGCUGAUAAAACCGCAUAAAACGGCAGUACCGCAUGGUACAACCGUCAAAUAUUUAUAGGUACAGGAUGGGCCCGCGUCUGAUUAGCCAGUUGGUGGGGUAACGGCCUACCAAAGCAACGAUCAGUAGCCGGCCUGAGAGGGUGAACGGCCACAUUGGGACUGAGACACGGCCCAAACUCCUACGGGAGGCAGCAGUGGGAAUAUUGGACAAUGGGGGGAACCCUGAUCCAGCGAACCGCCGCGUGAGUGAAGAAGUAUUUCGGUAUGUAAAGCUCUAUCAGCAGGGAAGAUGAUGACGGUACCUGACUAAGAAGCACCGGCUAAAUACGUGCCAGCCGCAGC
RNAcentral lists this ribosomal RNA (495 nucleotides) under uncultured bacterium. RNAcentral's name for it is "bacterial SSU rRNA". It matches the Rfam family "Bacterial small subunit ribosomal RNA", at positions 15 to 518 of the family's 1533-position model. The record is from RNAcentral.